GGUUAAGCGACUAAGCGUACACGGUGGAUGCCCUGGCAGUCAGAGGCGAUGAAGGACGUGCUAAUCUGCGAAAAGCGUCGGUAAGGUGAUAUGAACCGUUAUAACCGGCGAUGUCCGAAUGGGGAAACCCAGUGCAAUUCGUUGCACUAUCGUUAACUGAAUACAUAGGUUAACGAGGCGAACCGGGGGAACUGAAACAUCUAAGUACCCCGAGGAAAAGAAAUCAACCGAGAUUCCCCCAGUAGCGGCGAGCGAACGGGGAGCAGCCAGAGUCUGAAUCAGCUUGUGUGUUAGUGGAACGGUCUGGAAAGUCCGACGGUACAGGGUGAUAGUCCCGUACACCAAAAUGCACAGGUUGAACUCGAAGAGUAGGGCGGGACACGUGGUAUCCUGUCUGAAUAUGGGGGGACCAUCCUCCAAGGCUAAAUACUCCUGACUGACCGAUAGUGAACCAGUACCGUGAGGGAAAGGCGAAAAGAACCCCGGCGAGGGGAGUGAAAAAGAACCUGAAACCGUGUACGUACAAGCAGUGGGAGCACCUUCGGGUGUGACUGCGUACCUUUUGUAUAAUGGGUCAGCGACUUAUAUUCUGUAGCAAGGUUAACCGUAUAGGGGAGCCGCAGGGAAACCGAGUCUUAACUGGGCGUUAAGUUGCAGGGUAUAGACCCGAAACCCGGUGAUCUAGCCAUGGGCAGGUUGAAGGUUGGGUAACACUAACUGGAGGACCGAACCGACUAAUGUUGAAAAAUUAGCGGAUGACUUGUGGCUGGGGGUGAAAGGCCAAUCAAACCGGGAGAUAGCUGGUUCUCCCCGAAAGCUAUUUAGGUAGCGCCUCGUGAACUCAUCUUCGGGGGUAGAGCACUGUUUCGGCUAGGGGGUCAUCCCGACUUACCAACCCGAUGCAAACUACGAAUACCGAAGAAUGUUAUCACGGGAGACACACGGCGGGUGCUAACGUCCGUCGUGAAGAGGGAAACAACCCAGACCGCCAGCUAAGGUCCCAAAGUCAUGGUUAAGUGGGAAACGAUGUGGGAAGGCACAGACAGCCAGGAUGUUGGCUUAGAAGCAGCCAUCAUUUAAAGAAAGCGUAAUAGCUCACUGUUCGAGUCGGCCUGCGCGGAAGAUGUAACGGGGCUAAACCAUGCACCGAAGCUGCGGCAGCGACACUAUGUGUUGUUGGGUAGGGGAGCGUUCUGUAAGCCUGCGAAGGUGUGCUGUGAGGCAUGCUGGAGGUAUCAGAAGUGCGAAUGCUGACAUAAGUAACGAUAAAGCGGGUGAAAAGCCCGCUCGCCGGAAGACCAAGGGUUCCUGUCCAACGUUAAUCGGGGCAGGGUGAGUCGACCCCUAAGGCGAGGCCGAAAGGCGUAGUCGAUGGGAAACAGGUUAAUAUUCCUGUACUUGGUGUUACUGCGAAGGGGGGACGGAGAAGGCUAUGUUAGCCGGGCGACGGUUGUCCCGGUUUAAGCAUGUAGGCUGGUUAUCCAGGCAAAUCCGGAUAAUCAAGGCUGAGGUGUGAUGACGAGGCACUACGGUGCUGAAGUAACAAAUGCCCUGCUUCCAGGAAAAGCCUCUAAGCAUCAGGUAACAUCAAAUCGUACCCCAAACCGACACAGGUGGUCAGGUAGAGAAUACCAAGGCGCUUGAGAGAACUCGGGUGAAGGAACUAGGCAAAAUGGUGCCGUAACUUCGGGAGAAGGCACGCUGGUGUGUAGGUGAAGUCCCUGCGGAUGGAGCUGAGACCAGUCGAAGAUACCAGCUGGCUGCAACUGUUUAUUAAAAACACAGCACUGUGCAAACACGAAAGUGGACGUAUACGGUGUGACGCCUGCCCGGUGCCGGAAGGUUAAUUGAUGGGGUUAUCCGUAAGGAGAAGCUCUUGAUCGAAGCCCCGGUAAACGGCGGCCGUAACUAUAACGGUCCUAAGGUAGCGAAAUUCCUUGUCGGGUAAGUUCCGACCUGCACGAAUGGCGUAAUGAUGGCCAGGCUGUCUCCACCCGAGACUCAGUGAAAUUGAACUCGCUGUGAAGAUGCAGUGUACCCGCGGCAAGACGGAAAGACCCCGUGAACCUUUACUAUAGCUUGACACUGAACAUUGAGCCUUGAUGUGUAGGAUAGGUGGGAGGCUUUGAAGCGUGGACGCCAGUCUGCGUGGAGCCAACCUUGAAAUACCACCCUUUAAUGUUUGAUGUUCUAACGUUGGCCCCUGACCGGGGUUGCGGACAGUGUCUGGUGGGUAGUUUGACUGGGGCGGUCUCCUCCCAAAGCGUAACGGAGGAGCACGAAGGUUAGCUAAUCCUGGUCGGACAUCAGGAGGUUAGUGCAAUGGCAUAAGCUAGCUUGACUGCGAGCGUGACGGCGCGAGCAGGUGCGAAAGCAGGUCAUAGUGAUCCGGUGGUUCUGAAUGGAAGGGCCAUCGCUCAACGGAUAAAAGGUACUCCGGGGAUAACAGGCUGAUACCGCCCAAGAGUUCAUAUCGACGGCGGUGUUUGGCACCUCGAUGUCGGCUCAUCACAUCCUGGGGCUGAAGUAGGUCCCAAGGGUAUGGCUGUUCGCCAUUUAAAGUGGUACGCGAGCUGGGUUUAGAACGUCGUGAGACAGUUCGGUCCCUAUCUGCCGUGGGCGCUGGAGAAUUGAGGGGGGCUGCUCCUAGUACGAGAGGACCGGAGUGGACGCAUCACUGGUGUUCGGGUUGUCAUGCCAAUGGCACUGCCCGGUAGCUAAAUGCGGAAGAGAUAAGUGCUGAAAGCAUCUAAGCACGAAACUUGCCCCGAGAUGAGUUCUCCCUGAGACUAUAAGUCUCCUGAAGGAACGUUAAAGACGAUGACGUUGAUAGGCCGGGUGUGUAAGCGCAGCGAUGCGUUGAGCUAACCGGUACUAAUGAACCGUGAGGCUUAACCUU
Molecule: ribosomal RNA, 2899 nt
Filed under: Klebsiella pneumoniae
Lineage: Bacteria; Pseudomonadati; Pseudomonadota; Gammaproteobacteria; Enterobacterales; Enterobacteriaceae
Description: 23S ribosomal RNA
Rfam family: Bacterial large subunit ribosomal RNA
Source: RNAcentral